RNAcentral lists this ribosomal RNA (497 nucleotides) under uncultured bacterium. RNAcentral describes it as "partial 16S ribosomal RNA". It matches the Rfam family "Bacterial small subunit ribosomal RNA", at positions 28 to 507 of the family's 1533-position model. The record is from RNAcentral.
GAUGAACGCUGGCGGCGUGCCUAAUACAUGCAAGUCGAGCGAACAGACGAGGAGCUUGCUCCUCUGACGUUAGCGGCGGACGGGUGAGUAACACGUGGAUAACCUACCUAUAAGACUGGGAUAACUUCGGGAAACCGGAGCUAAUACCGGAUAAUAUAUUGAACCGCAUGGUUCAAUAGUGAAAGACGGUUUUGCUGUCACUUAUAGAUGGAUCCGCGCCGCAUUAGCUAGUUGGUAAGGUAACGGCUUACCAAGGCGACGAUGCGUAGCCGACCUGAGAGGGUGAUCGGCCACACUGGAACUGAGCCACGGUCCAGACUCCUACGGGAGGCAGCAGUAGGGAAUCUUCCGCAAUGGGCGAAAGCUUGACGGAGCAACGCCGCGUGAGUGAUGAAGGUCUUCGGAUCGUAAAACUCUGUUAUUAGGGAAGAACAAAUGUGUAAGUAACUAUGCACGUCUUGACGGUACCUAAUCAGAAAGCCACGGCUAACUACGUG